AGCUUUUAACGCAGAAUCCAUUUUAUUACCAUCCACCAACAGAGGAGGGGAGAGAAACAGUUGCAACUUGCAUAGUCCUAGAGAGAGAGAGAGAGAGAGAAGAGGACGAGCAACAAGAAGCACAAGUUGUAUUUGGACGUGGAGGAGUAAGGCCCUUAUGUUAUCCUCCUCCUCCUCCUCCUUUUUAUGACCGACUAGUUCCACUUCCACACUCAAUUCCGCCAUCCAAUCCGACCUGAAAGCUCAAAUCUUUCUGCAUUUUCCCCAUCUGGGUCUCUCAAUGGCGACUUGGGUCCUCUCAGAAUGCACCCUAAAACCUCUUCCUAAAUUCUAUCCACAUCCCAGAAACGCCCACCCGUCAAAACCCACCGUUCCUUCCUCCCUCCGGCCGUUUCCCACCUCCAAAAGCACCAAUCCUUUUGGGUUCAGAGAGGCAAAAUGGUCACUCAAUGUGAGUGCCCCAUUGAGGGUCCCAUCCGUGGACGGGGAAGAUAAUGGGAGAGUGAGCACACAUGGGGUUCGAGACGGUGGUGGAUUCGACCCCGGUGCCCCUCCCCCCUUCAAUUUGGGUGACAUCAGGACUGCCAUUCCAAAGCAUUGCUGGGUUAAGGACCCCUGGAGAUCUAUGAGCUAUGUGGUCAGAGAUGUGGCGGUGGUUUUUGGGAUGGCGGCUGUUGCAGCCUACUUUAACAAUUGGGUUGUUUGGCCUCUCUACUGGGUUGCUCAGGGCACCAUGUUCUGGGCUCUCUUUGUUCUUGGACAUGAUUGUGGCCACGGAAGCUUCUCGAAUAAUCCGAAACUGAUAGCGUGGUUGGUCAUCUUCUUCAUUCUUCAAUCCUUGUCCCAUACCAUGGAUGGAGAAUUAGCCACAGAACUCAUCAUCAGAACCAUGGACACGUCGAAAAUGACGAGUCUUGGCAUCCGUUGCCUGAGAAAAUUUACAAGAGUUUGGAUAAGAUGACUCAGAUAUUUAGAUUCACCUUGCCAUUCCCCAUGCUUGCUUAUCCUUUCUAUCUGUGGAAUCGAAGUCCGGGAAAGAAUGGCUCUCACUACAAUCCAAACAGCGAACUGUUUCUCCCUAAUGAAGGGAAAGAUAUCAUUACUUCCACUGCCUGUUGGACAGCAAUGGCUGCGCUGCUAGUCGGUCUGUCUUUCACAAUGGGUCCUGUCCAAGUGCUUAAGCUCUACGGUGUUCCAUACUGGAUGUUUGUCUUGUGGUUGGACUUAGUGACUUACUUGCAUCACCACGGCCACGAGGACAAGCUUCCAUGGUACCGUGGGAAGGAAUGGAGUUACCUAAGAGGAGGAUUGACAACCAUCGAUCGCGAUUACGGUUGGAUCAACAACAUCCAUCAUGACAUCGGGACUCAUGUUAUACAUCAUCUCUUCCCUCAAAUCCCACAUUACAACUUAAUAGAAGCAACGGAGGCGGCUAAGCCCGUGCUUGGGAAGUACUACAGAGAACCGAAGAAAUCGGGGCCUCUCCCGCUUCACUUACUGGGAGUCCUUGUAAGAAGCUUUAAACAAGAUCAUUACGUGAGUGAUACAGGGGAUGUUGUAUAUUAUCAAACCGAUAAGGAACUCGCCGGAUCAGCAGUCCCAGAAUGAAGCCGUGAAGUCUUAAGGUUCAACGAUCGAAGCGUUACAGCGUACCAAAGGAUUAAAUUCUUUGUGACCACUUGCUUUAACCCCCGGACAGUUUCCCGGCUCUGCAUUACUAAUCUGCCUUUGGCAGCCAUUCUUUUUCUUAAUGUACUCUGUAUAAAGAGCACGAGGUGCCUUGCAUAGAUACAUUGCAGACUGUUGAAUUGUAACACGUGGGAAUAUGUAUAGUGAAGUAGAAUGAUUUGAAUGAAAAGGGUUGAGUCUUGAAAUUUCCGAA
This is a non-coding RNA of Malus domestica (apple), 1882 nucleotides long. The record is from RefSeq and is a predicted model, not a curated record. NCBI's taxonomy places the organism in Eukaryota, Viridiplantae, Streptophyta, Magnoliopsida, Rosales, Rosaceae.